GAUGAACGCUGGCGGCGUGCCUAAUACAUGCAAGUCGAGCGAACAGACGAGGAGCUUGCUCCUCUGACGUUAGCGGCGGACGGGUGAGUAACACGUGGAUAACCUACCUAUAAGACUGGGAUAACUUCGGGAAACCGGAGCUAAUACCGGAUAAUAUAUUGAACCGCAUGGUUCAAUAGUGAAAGACGGUUUUGCUUUCACUUAUAGAUGGAUCCGCGCCGCAUUAGCUAGUUGGUAAGGUAACGGCUUACCAAGGCAACGAUGCGUAGCCGACCUGAGAGGGUGAUCGGCCACACUGGAACUGAGACACGGUCCAGACUCCUACGGGAGGCAGCAGUAGGGAAUCUUACGCAAUGGGGCAAAUCCUGACGGAGCACAGCCGCGUGAGUGAUGAAGGUCUUCGGAUCGUAAAACUCUGUUAUUAGGGAAGAACAAAUGUGUAAGUAACUAUGAACGUCUUGACGGUACCUAAUCAGAAAGCCACGGCUAACUACGUG
This 497-nucleotide ribosomal RNA is filed under the name uncultured bacterium. RNAcentral describes it as "partial 16S ribosomal RNA". It matches the Rfam family "Bacterial small subunit ribosomal RNA", at positions 28 to 507 of the family's 1533-position model. The record is from RNAcentral.